CCUACGGGAGGCUGCAGUGGGGAAUAUUGCACAAUGGGCGCAAGCCUGAUGCAGCCAUGCCGCGUGUGUGAAGAAGGCCUUCGGGUUGUAAAGCACUUUCAGCGGGGAGGAAGGCGGUGAGGUUAAUAACCUCAUCGAUUGACGUUACCCGCAGAAGAAGCACCGGCUAACUCCGUGCCAGCAGCCGCGGUAAUACGGAGGGUGCAAGCGUUAAUCGGAAUUACUGGGCGUAAAGCGCACGCAGGCGGUCUGUCAAGUCGGAUGUGAAAUCCCCGGGCUCAACCUGGGAACUGCAUUCGAAACUGGGAGGCUAGAGUCUUGUAGAGGGGGGUAGAAUUCCAGGUGUAGCGGUGAAAUGCGUAGAGAUCUGGAGGAAUACCGGUGGCGAAGGCGGCCCCCUGGACAAAGACUGACGCUCAGGUGCGAAAGCGUGGGGAGCAAACAGGAUUAGAUACCCGGGUAGUC
RNAcentral lists this ribosomal RNA (465 nucleotides) under uncultured Klebsiella sp. RNAcentral describes it as "bacterial SSU rRNA". It matches the Rfam family "Bacterial small subunit ribosomal RNA", at positions 338 to 795 of the family's 1533-position model. The record is from RNAcentral. Lineage: Bacteria; Pseudomonadati; Pseudomonadota; Gammaproteobacteria; Enterobacterales; Enterobacteriaceae.